This 460-nucleotide ribosomal RNA is filed under the name uncultured bacterium. RNAcentral's name for it is "partial 16S ribosomal RNA". It matches the Rfam family "Bacterial small subunit ribosomal RNA", at positions 338 to 795 of the family's 1533-position model. The record is from RNAcentral.
CCUACGGGAGGCAGCAGUGAGGAAUAUUGGUCAAUGGGCGCGAGCCUGAACCAGCCAAGCAGCGUGAAGGAUGAAUGCCCUACGGGUUGUAAACCUCUUUUGUAAAGGAAUAAAGUGAGGCACGUGUGCCUUUUUGUAUGUACUUUAUGAAUAAGGAUCGGCUAACUCCGUGCCAGCAGCCGCGGUAAUACGGAGGAUCCGAGCGUUAUCCGGGUUUAAUGGGUUUAAAGGGAGCCAAGAUGGGUUGGUAAGUCAGUUGUGAAAGGUGGCGGCGCAACCGUGAAAUUGCAAUUGAUACUGGCAGCCUGGAGUACAGGUGAGGUAGGCGGAAUUCGUGGUGUAGCGGUGAAAUGCUUAGAUAUCACGAAGAACUCCGAUUGCGAAGGCAGCUUACUAGACUGCCACUGACGUUGAUGCUCGAAAGUGUGGGUAUCAAACAGGAUUAGAUACCCCAGUAGUC